Lycium barbarum (goji berry) is the source of this 835-nucleotide long non-coding RNA. RefSeq lists it as uncharacterized. NCBI's taxonomy places the organism in Eukaryota, Viridiplantae, Streptophyta, Magnoliopsida, Solanales, Solanaceae. The transcript is spliced from 2 exons. The record is from RefSeq and is a predicted model, not a curated record.
UCAUCGUGAGCCGCACUCUCUCUUCCUCUUUUUUCUACAUUUUUAUUUUAUUUUGCACCCUUUCCUAUCUUUUUCACCUUUUUUUUUCACAUGCUCCACACAUCUUCCCACAUUUGAUUUUUUUUUUUUCUCUUUAAUGAGUUCCACAUGUUUGCUCUCUUUUUGACUACAUCUCUUUCUCUUCAUCAUCAUCUCUCACGCUCCAUUCUACUCCUCCCUUCCCCCCGCUCCUUCCUCCCUUUCUCAUACGCUCCUCUCUCUCAUAUUUUUCUAUAAGAGGUGGAUUUUGACUCAAAUAAGGGGGACUUUUCAGGUUUUUUUUUAGAGGGAUUUUCAGUGAACAGAAUAAAAAAAAAAUCGAUUUCUCCUUUCCGGUGAACUUUAGCCGGAAAUUACUCAACAUUUUCAGAGAUCCAACUAUAUUCCAAGCUUGAUUUUUCCUUUUUCCGGUGAACUUUAGCCGGAAAUUACUCAACAUUUUCAGAGAUCCAACUAUAUUCCAAGCUUGAUUUUUCCUUUUUCCGGUGAACUUUAGCCGCGGCGAGUGUAGUCGAUUCACAACUCUAGCUUCGAAUUUGUUCGGGUGUAAAAGAGUAGAUCGAGACUCAAAUCCCUUGUUCACUGCACCCACAAAAGGUAUGGAUUUACAUUGGAGUACAACAAAUGACGAAGAUCAAGGACAUAAAAAACGGAGCUAGAAGUUAGACACAGGAAAUUGUAUUUACUUUACUCAGAUUAGGAAACACUUCAUGUUGUAUUCAUUUGAUACGUAAUAAAUGUUACACAAUUUUUUGUACUUUAUUUUGGGGAAAUAGAAUCUGUUUAAUUAAUCAAA